RNAcentral lists this ribosomal RNA (506 nucleotides) under Limosilactobacillus fermentum. RNAcentral describes it as "bacterial SSU rRNA". It matches the Rfam family "Bacterial small subunit ribosomal RNA", at positions 62 to 524 of the family's 1533-position model. Lineage: Bacteria; Bacillati; Bacillota; Bacilli; Lactobacillales; Lactobacillaceae. The record is from RNAcentral.
UMGAACGCGUUGGCCCAAUUGAUUGAUGRUGCUUGCACCUGAUUGAUUUUGGUCGCCAACGAGUGGCGGACGGGUGAGUAACACGUAGGUAACCUGCCCAGAAGCGGGGGACAACAUUUGGAAACAGAUGCUAAUACCGCAUAACAACGUUGUUCGCAUGAACAACGCUUAAAAGAUGGCUUCUCGCUAUCACUUCUGGAUGGACCUGCGGUGCAUUAGCUUGUUGGUGGGGUAAYGGCCUACCAAGGCGAUGAUGCAUAGCCGAGUUGAGAGACUGAUCGGCCACAAUGGGACUGAGACACGGCCCAUACUCCUACGGGAGGCAGCAGUAGGGAAUCUUCCACAAUGGGCGCAAGCCUGAUGGAGCAACACCGCGUGAGUGAAGAAGGGUUUCGGCUCGUAAAGCUCUGUUGUUAAAGAAGAACACGUAUGAGAGUAACUGUUCAUACGUUGACGGUAUUUAACCAGAAAGUCACGGCUAACUACGUGCCAGCMGCCGCGGUAAU